Bactrocera oleae (olive fruit fly) is the source of this 460-nucleotide long non-coding RNA. RefSeq lists it as uncharacterized. The record is from RefSeq and is a predicted model, not a curated record. NCBI's taxonomy places the organism in Eukaryota, Metazoa, Arthropoda, Insecta, Diptera, Tephritidae.
UGAAAGUGCGUGUGUAAGAAUUUGCAGAUAUUUUAAAAUGUUUAUUUAAACAAGAGCAGCGGAUCCGUACGAUACUCAGCAAAGUUGAAGUAUAUUCUGAUACGGAUUAAAAUCAAGACUCGGAAAAGUGCAACAAAAUGAAUUUAACAUUUUUAAUCGUUUUGGGUUUACUCAAGGUUUUUUCAAGUGAGGGACAAAAUAAAUAUGAUAGGGAUCGUGUAUAUUUUCCUGAUACUUUGUCAAAAGUGCUCCUAGCUAUCAACGCCACAAAUGGUGCAAAACAUCCUGACAUCUCAUUUCGAAGUGGAAUAUGGAACACUGAUCCCGUGGAUCCUCUCCCAACAAGAAAGACGCACCGUGUAAAUAAGAAAAGUUAAUGUUAUAAAAUAAUUAACAAUGUAUUUCCAAAUUGUUGCUUUUUGACAAUGAAAAUAAAUCAAGAUUUUUGUGCUUAAAAACA